This 75-nucleotide non-coding RNA is filed under the name Helianthus annuus (common sunflower). The record is from RNAcentral. Lineage: Eukaryota; Viridiplantae; Streptophyta; Magnoliopsida; Asterales; Asteraceae.
GAAAGUCGUGUGCAAUGAAAAAUGCAAGCACGGCUUUGGGAGGGAUUUAUUUAACAAAGAAAUUAUCUACUCCAU